Molecule: ribosomal RNA, 367 nt
Filed under: uncultured eukaryote
Lineage: Eukaryota
Description: partial 18S ribosomal RNA
Rfam family: Eukaryotic small subunit ribosomal RNA
Source: RNAcentral
CCCUUAGAUGUUCUGGGCUGCACGCGCGUUACAAUGAUAAAAGCAGAGAGUGAGAAAAGAAAAAAAAAGUUGAAGAAAUUCAAUUUUUUUUUUUUAAAAACACGUUGGAUGAGAAACAUUUGACAAAUCUUGGAAAUUUUAUCGUACUAUGAAUUGUUAAUUGAAACUAUUUGACAUGAAAAAGGAAUGCCUAGUAGGUGCAAGUCAUCAACUUGCGCCGAUUACGUCCCUGUCUCUUGUACACACCGCCCGUCGCUCCUACCGAUUGAAACCAACGGUGAAAAAUUCGGAGAGAGUGAAUUUAGAAAUAGAUUUACGAUUGAAGUUUUUUAAAUCUUUUGUUUUAGAGGAAGGAGAAGUCGUAACA